AGUCCACUUUGAAACACGACAUUUAUUAACCACGGCAGCUUGCGGUGCACGAUGCGAUCCAAAGUUUUUACAAGAGAUCAUUCGAGUUCAGCAAAGAGUGACAACAGACCAUGUGUUUACAAAUUGCAAAGAGCAAAAGGAAUAUCAGUGUUCGGGUUUGCGGAGGAUAGCAACAAACUAGGGAGGAACAGACCGUCUCCUUCGGAAAAAGAGCUGCCAGGAAGAUGCGACGCAGAAAUACUACAAAGUUGCUUUAAGUGAAGCCGUUCCAGCGGCACAAAAUGAUUCGGAAUUGCAACAUCUUCCCUGUUGCCGUACCCUGUGGACACACCACUGAAGUUAACUUUUGGUCAGACACAAGGCAUGUAAAAUCGUGAUGUUUGGUCUAGUAAAGUUAGUAUUUGUAACCUGACUUGGCAUAGCUUAGCAUACCCUUGCCUUUUACCUGAAUCAGGUAGAUUUCCUCCACAUGCGCAUUGAACGCUAAAAUGGCGUGGAAAAGUUUGCACCACACACUCAAGCAAGAGCAGGAUAUUACUCACCAUCAAAGAGAUGAAUGAACCAAAGUCCCUUGGGCUUGCUUCAAUUCCACAAAAAAAUAUAUUGAUGAAUAUUAUCCUUUAUAGCUUAUAAGAAACUCGCGAAAGAGAUCAUCUGGACGUUGACGCGGUUUGACGGCGGAAGUAAUAGUUGACCACAGAAGUAGAAAUAUGUAUAGUUUAUCCAGUCGUAUAUUACUUAUGAGUUGCCGAGUUCAUUCUAAGGAUUUCACUCUUGUUUCAUAACUUCAGCGCAUGAAAUGCCGUCUCUUUCCCUCGGCUGGUAGCGUAGUCUGUCGGUUCGGCUGUAGUUGAUGCGCGGCGGUAGUGAGUCGCGGCUGGCUACAGCCACCUGAAAUACUGGAUUAGUGAUGUUUUCAGAGCGGGUCAAACCCCGCCUCUAGUGUACAAUAUUUACUGCAGUCCCUGACACACACACACACACACACUUGCACAAGCAGCCCCGCACGCUGUCACACGGCUAAGGGAGGAGUUAGCUGCGCAGUUCUGCUUGGCGUGUGCACUUCCCACCCUGUGUGUGUGUGUUCCCACGGCCCUCUCCUCACUGCUCCGCGAGACGAAUGUGGGAUAAGAAGAACUGUCCCGGGGAGAGGUGCUUACGGGACGCCGAGGGAGAAUUAAACCCUGUGUGUGUGUGUGCGCUUGCAGCCUCCAUGAUGUACACUUCCGAGUUGAAGUGUUCGGAGCGAUCAUUUGCUGCGUGUGUGUGAUGUUUACUUCGCGGAUGCCGACAAGGGUGAACAUGAAGGCAUGGCAACGGGGCCAGGAGAGAGCGAGGCACUAAUAAAAUGUGAUACAUGGUUAAGAUUUACAGACCGCAUCAUCAUAACUCAUCAAAACUAAACAUAUAUAAAAUUCCAUAUAUAAAUAAAAUUGGGCCAUAGGCAGCGCAUGUUGUACUGUGAAGGAGGGUCUUUACGUAUCCCGGGUACAGCGUUGUGCGGCUGUCGCCAGCCAGUUGUGCACUGCUAUUGUAUCCUGCCAACCUUACUAUGCUUGUAUACUUUAAAUUAUCAUGCACCAUGUCAGCUUACCACAAUUAAAAAUAACUCUACAAAACGAAACAUAAACUAAAUUCACAUUUAUAUUUACCAACACAUUUUUUCUCUCUCUUAUAGUGUGUCUUUACACCUGCAAAUGC
Clupea harengus (Atlantic herring) is the source of this 1701-nucleotide long non-coding RNA. The record is from Ensembl. NCBI's taxonomy places the organism in Eukaryota, Metazoa, Chordata, Actinopteri, Clupeiformes, Clupeidae.